This is a non-coding RNA of Petromyzon marinus (sea lamprey), 633 nucleotides long. Lineage: Eukaryota; Metazoa; Chordata; Hyperoartia; Petromyzontiformes; Petromyzontidae. The record is from RefSeq and is a predicted model, not a curated record.
ACACUGUAUACACAAUGUUCACGUUGUUGAGCUCACGCACACCAAAGGGUCAAUGUUCAAUAGAGGGAUCAAUGGAAUAGGAAUCUUAAUAAACUUGAACUCUAACCCCGCUCUCUGACGUCACCGCUGCAUUACCUCUUCGGCGUGAGGGGGGAGGUGUACCCCGCUAGUGACGUCAUGUCACCUGCUGCCGCGUGACGUCACGAGACACCAGGAAGCUGCCGUACUCUACGCGCGCGCUCACUGUGAGCCGAGAGUCCCCAUGGGGUUAGAUGGGCUGCAAACUUGAAGAAUCUUGCAGAAGGUAAAUGUCAGUUGGGAAACGGGACUGAGCAUCAGAAGCUUCUGUCAUAGCUUCAUGAAGAUGGUGGAAGAUCUUGCACAGGGGAGGGCAGUAGGUAAACGAUCCAUCGAUUGUGAACCUGAAUUAGCGAGUUAGUGGCAGGUCUGAGCGUUGUUUGAAAUCCACCAUGCUCAGCAUUUCUGUGAAGAUAUAAGAGGAUAGCCAUCAUGGGCCAACUUGAGCGUCUUUCAAGUAGUUGCAUGGAUACGUCUUGGUACGGCUGUGGUCUUGCAUACUUGGCGCAUUUGGAUAGAACUGGCCACAUGGGCCAUGGACCAUUUGGUUGCAGA